GACGAACGCUGGCGGCGUGCUUAACACAUGCAAGUCGAACGGAAAGGCCCUGCUUUUGUGGGGUGCUCGAGUGGCGAACGGGUGAGUAACACGUGAGUAACCUGCCCUUGACUUUGGGAUAACUUCAGGAAACUGGGGCUAAUACCGGAUAGGAGCUCCUGCUGCAUGGUGGGGGUUGGAAAGUUUCGGCGGUUGGGGAUGGACUCGCGGCUUAUCAGCUUGUUGGUGGGGUAGUGGCUUACCAAGGCUUUGACGGGUAGCCGGCCUGAGAGGGUGACCGGCCACAUUGGGACUGAGAUACGGACCAGACUACUACGGGAGGCAGCAGUGGGGAAUAUUGCACAAGGGGCGGAAGACUGAUGCAGCAACGCCGCGUGCGGGAUGACGGCCUUCGGGUGGUAAACCGCUUUCGCCUGUGACGAAGCGUGAGUGACGGUAAUGGGUAAAGAAGCACCGGCUAACUACGU
This 467-nucleotide ribosomal RNA is filed under the name uncultured bacterium. RNAcentral describes it as "partial 16S ribosomal RNA". It matches the Rfam family "Bacterial small subunit ribosomal RNA", at positions 28 to 506 of the family's 1533-position model. The record is from RNAcentral.